UUCACAUUGUAUUUCAAUUUUUAAAAUCCAUCACAUAGAUUAUCCCGAUCAAGAUUUUACUAAAUUGAAACACACUGAUACAUUAACUCCUACUUAUUCGGAGGGAUCAAUUUCAUCUUGACUCACAUACUGACUUUACAAGUACUUGACUAUAUCCAAAAAUUUUUCAUCAUUGAAUUAAAAAUUCAAAUAGUCCAGCAUUAAAGCAUAGUGAGUUACUUGCAAGUCACCAUGGUGAUCUC
Molecule: long non-coding RNA, 242 nt
Filed under: Elaeis guineensis (African oil palm)
Lineage: Eukaryota; Viridiplantae; Streptophyta; Magnoliopsida; Arecales; Arecaceae
Description: long non-coding RNA (EGUI_LNC042203)
Source: RNAcentral